GAUGAACGCUAGCGGCAGGCUUAAUACAUGCAAGUCGAGGGGCAGCAGGACGGUAGCAAUACCGUUGCUGGCGACCGGCAAACGGGUGCGGAACACGUACGCAACCUACCCAUAACUGGGGGAUAGCCCGGGGAAACCCGGAUUAAUACCUCGUAACCUUAUGAAGUGGCAUCGCUUUAUAAGUAUAGCUCCGGCGGUUAUGGAUGGGCGUGCGCCUGAUUAGGUAGUUGGCGGGUAACGGCCCACCAAGCCUGCGAUCAGUAACUGGUGUGAGAGCAUGACCAGUCACACGGGCACUGAGACACGGGCCCGACCCCUACGGGAGGCAGCAGUAAGGAAUAUUGGUCAAUGGACGCAAGUCUGAACCAGCCAUGCCGCGUGAAGGAUGAAGGUCCUCUGGAUUGUAAACUUCUUUUAUAGGGGAAGAAAUCUGAAUAUUCCUAUUCAGUUGACGGUACCCUAGGAAUAAGCACCGGCUAACUCCGUGCCAGCCGCCGCCGUAA
This 503-nucleotide ribosomal RNA is filed under the name uncultured bacterium. RNAcentral describes it as "partial 16S ribosomal RNA". It matches the Rfam family "Bacterial small subunit ribosomal RNA", at positions 28 to 523 of the family's 1533-position model. The record is from RNAcentral.